Molecule: long non-coding RNA, 644 nt
Organism: Anolis carolinensis (green anole)
Lineage: Eukaryota; Metazoa; Chordata; Lepidosauria; Squamata; Anolidae
Exons: 4
Source: RefSeq, a predicted model, not a curated record
UUUGCAGUUUAAUAUACUCUCUGUUUACUCUUAAUUGUUAAAAAACCUACAAAGACCAUUUUGAAAUUUAGACUUUAAAGACCCCAACAACUAGCCAAUUAGAUCAUAUAUCUUCAAACAUAUUGGGAGAAUGUUCAUUAGGUUAGAAGAAUAGUGGCUUUUCUUUGGAGCUUCACACUGGAAAAUGUAUUCAGCAUGAUGAAGGAUGGGCUAAGAGGCAAAUAACUUUUCUGCAGUGAUGUUUCCCUUUAGGGAUUAUAUAUCGAUCUGCAGGAAAGAUGUAUCCUGGACAAAAAAUUAACAGGGGAGUGGAACAUCCAACAGCAUCUGCAUCCCAAACACCUAAACUAAAACCUUAUGAAGAAGCUCUUUUGAUUGUGUUCGAGAAAGAGAAACGUCAAGGUGAGCUACAGCUGUCACUUCCUCCCUUUUCCCAGGCAUUUCUUCGCAAGGAACUGAUGUUUAAAAUUCCAUGGAAUAUCCCCUUGUGAAGUAAGCAUAAGAGCAAAGUACAGACCACACAAAGAAAAAUCUUACCUUCGUUUCCUUUUACAAAGUAGCAAGCCUAUUACCAAAGUUGUAAUCAAUGUCACCAAGAGGACGAGUGGAACAAUGAUUGCAAUGCUUCCUGCAACAAAUAGAAG